This 239-nucleotide ribosomal RNA is filed under the name uncultured bacterium. Its description in RNAcentral is "partial 16S ribosomal RNA". It matches the Rfam family "Bacterial small subunit ribosomal RNA", at positions 95 to 334 of the family's 1533-position model. The record is from RNAcentral.
UAGGCGAACGGGUGAGUAACGCGUAGGUAACCAACCUCAUACAGGGGGAUAGCCCAGGGAAACUUGGAUUAAACCCGCAUAAGACCACGCUAUCGCAUGAUAAAGUGGUAAAAACUCCGGUGGUAUGAGACGGACCUGCGUCUUAUUAGGUAGUUGGUGAGGUAACGGCUCACCAAGCCGACGAUGAGUAGCCGACCUGAGAGGGUGAUCGGCCACAUUGGGACUGAGACACGGCCCAG